UUUGCUCUUCUAUUAUUUAACUUAUUUUUAGUUUGUCAUCCUCUUGUUUAAAAAGUUAUACUUAACUAUUCUGUGAUUUUACUUUUACCUUUAUCGAAAAAAUUUACUAUCAGAUAGGAUAGUAAAAUAAUUUUUUUUUUAAUCACAGAAUAGAUAAGUGUAAAUUUUUGAAUCACAAAAUGACAAAAUAAAAAUGUGUUAACUAAUCGACUGUCCCUAAAGCAAGUGGCAAAGGGCUUGGUGGUUAGUACCCGAGACCCAAGUUCGAAUCCUAGUUGAUUCACAUUUCCAGCUAAGUUUAUUUCAAAAUGAAAUAAACAAAGCGGGUAGCGUGCUACCUAUCUCUCUCUCAAAAAAAAAAAAAAAA
RNAcentral lists this long non-coding RNA (367 nucleotides) under Ananas comosus (pineapple). RNAcentral's name for it is "long non-coding RNA (ACOM_LNC031879)". The record is from RNAcentral. Lineage: Eukaryota; Viridiplantae; Streptophyta; Magnoliopsida; Poales; Bromeliaceae.